UCCUGCUGGAUUUGGGCAGCAGGCUCUGCACAUCCCCUCACCCUGCGGCUGCCGGUGUGCCGGGAGGGAAGGAGAGAGGAUGGUCUGCUGGGACUUCAGAUACAGACUGCACACCUGUCCUAGGUUAUAAUAUUGGGGUGUAUUCCAUCACCACCUCAAGCUGCAAUCCCUUUCUUUCCUUAUCUCGUGACUCAGAGAAAAGUCCCUCCAGGAGGAGCUGUUCUUUACCACAUGACUGAUAAGAUCACAGCAUUCUGUUGUGAGAUGCUCCGCCCAGAGGGAGGAGCCAAACGAUGCCAUCAAGGAUGUAAGUGGGGUUGUGCAGACAGCAAGGAGAUCCCCUCUUCCAGGAGGAACAGCUGAGACCUUCUCUACAAUGGACCUCCAGAGGGAAACUCCAUCAGUCUACAAGAGCACAGCUUGGACAGAACCAUAUCUGCUACCACCGCCCCAGCCAGCAAGUGUCAGGCUGUAUCUCUAACUCUGACAACACCUCUUCACCUCUGGCUGCCAGUGUGCCACGGAGACCCCAGGGACAGACCCUGCACGGAGACCCCAGGGACAGACCCUGCACAGAGACCCCAGGGACAGACCCUGCACGGAGACCCCAGGGACAGACCCUGCAGCCUUCUCCCUCCUCAGCUACCAGAAAAAAGCUACAGCUCCAUGUUGAGCCCCCUGCCCAGCUGAUCUUUUUAAUAAAGAGCUGAACA
Non-coding RNA from Taeniopygia guttata (zebra finch), 713 nucleotides. The record is from RefSeq and is a predicted model, not a curated record. NCBI's taxonomy places the organism in Eukaryota, Metazoa, Chordata, Aves, Passeriformes, Estrildidae.